ACAACAGGGAUUGCCUCAGUAACGGCGAGUGAAGCGGCAAUAGCUCAAAUUUGAAAGCUGGCUUACGCCCGCGUUGUAAUUUGUAGAGGAUGCUUCGGAUGCGGUGCCGGUCUAAGUUCUUUGGAACAGGACGUCAUAGAGGGUGAGAAUCCCGUAUGUGACUGGUGGCCUGCGUCUAUGUGAAGCUCCUUCGACGAGUCGAGUUGUUUGGGAAUGCAGCUCUAAAUGGGUGGUGUACUUCAUCUAAAGCUAAAUAUUGGCUGGAGACCGAUAGCGCACAAGUAGAGUGAUCGAAAGAUGAAAAGCACUUUGGAAAGAGAGUUAAAUAGUACGUGAAAUUGUUGAAAGGGAAGCGCUUGCAAUCAGACUUGCGCUGCGUCGAUCAACUUGGGUUCUCCCUGGUGCACUCGGCGCAGCUCAGGCCAGCAUCAGUUUCGGCGGUUGGAUAAAGGCUUGGAGAACGUGAGUUGCUUCGGCGACUGUUAUAGCUCCAGGUGCAAUGCAGCCCGCCUGGACCGAGGACCGCGCUUUUCGCGAAGCUAGGAUGCUGGCGUAAUGGUUGUAAGCGACCC
Molecule: ribosomal RNA, 572 nt
Filed under: uncultured fungus
Lineage: Eukaryota; Fungi
Description: eukaryotic LSU rRNA
Rfam family: Eukaryotic large subunit ribosomal RNA
Source: RNAcentral